AUGCCCAGAAUGGGUAGAUCCACAUAGGAAGUAGAUGAGGGGUUAUCAGGAGCUAGGGAGACAUGGGAAUAGGAGUGACUGUUAACAGGCAUGGGGUUUCUUUAUGCAAAUGAUGAAAAUGUUCUGGAGUUAAGAGGGUCAUGAUGGUUGCACAAUUUUGUGACCAUAUCAAAAAACUGAAUUGUACACUUUAAAAUGGGUAAAUUUUAUGGCGUAAGAGUUAUAUCUCAGGCCAGGCGCAGUGGCUCACACCUGUAA
RNAcentral lists this long non-coding RNA (258 nucleotides) under Homo sapiens (human). RNAcentral's name for it is "HSALNT0004458". The record is from RNAcentral. Lineage: Eukaryota; Metazoa; Chordata; Mammalia; Primates; Hominidae.